Molecule: ribosomal RNA, 1398 nt
Filed under: Pseudomonas aeruginosa
Lineage: Bacteria; Pseudomonadati; Pseudomonadota; Gammaproteobacteria; Pseudomonadales; Pseudomonadaceae
Description: partial 23S ribosomal RNA
Rfam family: Bacterial large subunit ribosomal RNA
Source: RNAcentral
UAGGUAACACUGACUGGAGGACCGAACCCACUCCCGUUGAAAAGGUAGGGGAUGACUUGUGGAUCGGAGUGAAAGGCUAAUCAAGCUCGGAGAUAGCUGGUUCUCCUCGAAAGCUAUUUAGGUAGCGCCUCAUGUAUCACUCUGGGGGGUAGAGCACUGUUUCGGCUAGGGGGUCAUCCCGACUUACCAAACCGAUGCAAACUCCGAAUACCCAGAAGUGCCGAGCAUGGGAGACACACGGCGGGUGCUAACGUCCGUCGUGAAAAGGGAAACAACCCAGACCGCCAGCUAAGGUCCCAAAGUUGUGGUUAAGUGGUAAACGAUGUGGGAAGGCUUAGACAGCUAGGAGGUUGGCUUAGAAGCAGCCAUCCUUUAAAGAAAGCGUAAUAGCUCACUAGUCGAGUCGGCCUGCGCGGAAGAUGUAACGGGGCUCAAACCACACACCGAAGCUGCGGGUGUCACGUAAGUGACGCGGUAGAGGAGCGUUCUGUAAGCCUGUGAAGGUGAGUUGAGAAGCUUGCUGGAGGUAUCAGAAGUGCGAAUGCUGACAUGAGUAACGACAAUGGGUGUGAAAAACACCCACGCCGAAAGACCAAGGGUUCCUGCGCAACGUUAAUCGACGCAGGGUUAGUCGGUUCCUAAGGCGAGGCUGAAAAGCGUAGUCGAUGGGAAACAGGUUAAUAUUCCUGUACUUCUGGUUACUGCGAUGGAGGGACGGAGAAGGCUAGGCCAGCUUGGCGUUGGUUGUCCAAGUUUAAGGUGGUAGGCUGAAAUCUUAGGUAAAUCCGGGGUUUCAAGGCCGAGAGCUGAUGACGAGUCGUCUUUUAGAUGACGAAGUGGUUGAUGCCAUGCUUCCAAGAAAAGCUUCUAAGCUUCAGGUAACCAGGAACCGUACCCCAAACCGACACAGGUGGUCGGGUAGAGAAUACCAAGGCGCUUGAGAGAACUCGGGUGAAGGAACUAGGCAAAAUGGCACCGUAACUUCGGGAGAAGGUGCGCCGGCUAGGGUGAAGGAUUUACUCCGUAAGCUCUGGCUGGUCGAAGAUACCAGGCCGCUGCGACUGUUUAUUAAAAACACAGCACUCUGCAAACACGAAAGUGGACGUAUAGGGUGUGACGCCUGCCCGGUGCCGGAAGGUUAAUUGAUGGGGUUAGCGCAAGCGAAGCUCUUGAUCGAAGCCCCGGUAAACGGCGGCCGUAACUAUAACGGUCCUAAGGUAGCGAAAUUCCUUGUCGGGUAAGUUCCGACCUGCACGAAUGGCGUAACGAUGGCGGCGCUGUCUCCACCCGAGACUCAGUGAAAUUGAAAUCGCUGUGAAGAUGCAGUGUAUCCGCGGCUAGACGGAAAGACCCCGUGAACCUUUACUGUAGCUUUGCACUGGACUUUGAGCCUGCUUG